Molecule: long non-coding RNA, 392 nt
Filed under: Hordeum vulgare
Lineage: Eukaryota; Viridiplantae; Streptophyta; Magnoliopsida; Poales; Poaceae
Description: long non-coding RNA (HVUL_LNC001686)
Source: RNAcentral
GGAUGGCUACGACUGCGACAGUGGAGCAGGCAGCCAGGAUGAAGGAGGAGGAGGUAGCCCGGAUGCAGGCGGAGAUGGAUGUCCAGAAGGAGCAGGACGCAUGGAUGAACUCGUCCGGCCAGUGAUCCGACAAUCAACACUUGUCGGUCAGACAUUGCUUUCAUUUUGGCAUGUUUGUUUGGUUGAACUAUGAUAUCAUUUGCUUUUGUUUAAAACUGUUGAAUUCGAAAAAUUUGUAUCGGAUGGUCGACGUGCAUGCAUGACUUUGUAUGGAUUUAAGAGUCCGGAUAUAAGGUAUGUGAAUGCACGGAACAAAAUAUGAGAAGCUGUCUGAAUGCUUUUGCGAUCAUGCCAGGGCUCGUCAGCGGACGUAUAGUGGGACGGAUUUGCCU